CUUUUCCCCAACAAUAUAUUCUUUGUGAUCUCGCCCAAGAAUCUUAACAAUAUGACCUCGUGUGGAAUCUUUAAAGAGAUCUAUUUAAAGCAAGUCACGCCUGAUUUGAGGACAUGGAAAGACCCAUAAUCUUGCCAUACCCAUGAUGGGGAAGUGAGCCCCUAAAAGCAGGGAUCAUAGCAGAGCACUUUGAUUUUUCUGCUUCUUAUUCCUAAACCCAAUGUAGAAAAAAGAAAUGUGGAAAAACGUAGGAUUUUGGCACAUAUUUAAAGGACAUAGGAACCUAUGCCUGAUCAGCACUGGACAUUUGCAGGCCUUGUCAGAACUGCUCAGUGUAUUCACAAGGAUCCUUAAAUGUGCAGAAGGAGACAGAAGAGGAGAAGCAGAAAGAUGGCAGCAUGAAAUGGAACCAAGUUGCCAUUACUGGCUUUCAAGACGAAGGAAUGGGGCUGUGAGUCAAGGAUGUCAGCAGACUCUAGAAGAUAGAAUAAGGAAAGUAAGAAAUCUCCCCUAGAUCCUCCAAAAGGAAUGCAACCCUGCCCACAUGUCAAUAUUACCUCAGUGAGAUCUGUCUUGGAAUUCUGACCACCAGAAUCAUAAGGUAACAAAUUUGUGUUGUUUAAAGCCACCAAGUUUGUGUUAAGUUUUUACAGUAGUAAUAGUAAACUAAUACUGUUAGGAAAUAUACAACAGGACCCUACAACAUCCUAUAGUGCCAGAAAGUAACAAAGUGUUUAAAACUCUCACAAACAGGGGUGCCUGGGUGGCUCAGUCAGUUAAGCAUUGGACUUUACCUCAGGUCAUGAACUCACAGUUUGUGAAUUUGAGCCCCUCGUCAAGCUGGCUUCUGUCAGCACAAAGCCCACUUCAGAUCUGGUGUCCCCCUCUCUCCCUGCU
This is a long non-coding RNA of Acinonyx jubatus (cheetah), 897 nucleotides long. RefSeq lists it as uncharacterized. The record is from RefSeq and is a predicted model, not a curated record. NCBI's taxonomy places the organism in Eukaryota, Metazoa, Chordata, Mammalia, Carnivora, Felidae. The transcript is spliced from 3 exons.